ACGUGCCGUGAAGAUCUGCCUUUUAACGGGUAUGAUCUUUCACAUGGCUCACCCUUGUUUACCUUCAAAUUUGUUGCUUUGGUGGGCCUGCCGAUAAGGCUGCUGGGGAAUUUAAUUUAAUUUCCGGGCUCGUGCUCACCAAAAGUCUUUAAUGAACUCUGAGUUUGUUUUUAGCUGUCUGAGUAGUUAAAAAAAUAUAAUUUUA
This 205-nucleotide unclassified non-coding RNA is filed under the name uncultured fungus. Its description in RNAcentral is "sequence contains ITS1". The record is from RNAcentral. Lineage: Eukaryota; Fungi.